GAGGAAGCCCGGUGUGAUUCCGGCGCGGUCCCGCCACUGUGAGCCCGGAUCCAAGCCCCUCGCGGAGCUUCGGCGCCGGGUGAGUCAGGAACUC
This 94-nucleotide non-coding RNA is filed under the name Streptomyces sp. The record is from RNAcentral. Lineage: Bacteria; Bacillati; Actinomycetota; Actinomycetes; Kitasatosporales; Streptomycetaceae.